RNAcentral lists this transfer RNA (68 nucleotides) under Hyloxalus yasuni. RNAcentral's name for it is "tRNA-Tyr". It matches the Rfam family "tRNA". Rfam says of the family: Transfer RNA (tRNA) molecules are approximately 80 nucleotides in length. Their secondary structure includes four short double-helical elements and three loops (D, anti-codon, and T loops). The record is from RNAcentral. Lineage: Eukaryota; Metazoa; Chordata; Amphibia; Anura; Dendrobatidae.
GGUAAGAUGGCCGAGCAAGGCAGCGGGUUGUAGCCCCGACUACAGAGGUCAAAGUCCUCUUCUUAUCA